CUGUAAGCGUAUACCAAAGUUGUUGCAGUUAAAACGCUCGUAGUCGGACAUUGGUAGUUCCGGGGGUGUGCGCGUCGUGUGCAUGCUCUGCGGGGACUGCUUUAGUGGUGUUGUCGGAGGGAUGAAGCAUUUUAAUUAAUGAACGUCCGCCGCACCCACUUUUUACUGUGAGAAAAUCAGAGUGCUCAAAGCAGGCAAUUGCCGUGAAUGUAUUAGCAUGGAAUAAUAGAAUAGGACUCGUUUCUAUUUUGUUGGUUUGUUAGGAAUGAGUAAUGAUUAAGAGGGACAGUUGGGGGCAUUUGUAUUACGAGGCUAGAGGUGAAAUUCUUAGAUUCUCGUAAGACAAACUGCUGCGAAAGCGUCUGCCAAGGAUGUUUUCAUUGA
RNAcentral lists this ribosomal RNA (384 nucleotides) under uncultured eukaryote. RNAcentral's name for it is "partial 18S ribosomal RNA". It matches the Rfam family "Eukaryotic small subunit ribosomal RNA", at positions 591 to 976 of the family's 1831-position model. The record is from RNAcentral.